This is a long non-coding RNA of Hydra vulgaris (swiftwater hydra), 707 nucleotides long. RefSeq lists it as uncharacterized. NCBI's taxonomy places the organism in Eukaryota, Metazoa, Cnidaria, Hydrozoa, Anthoathecata, Hydridae. The record is from RefSeq and is a predicted model, not a curated record.
UAGUGUUAAGGCAAUAUCUUGAUGAUGUUGAAAUUGAUAGUGUUUACCAGAUUAUUAAUCUUCAUAUUCACGAGAUAAUGAAGCAGCUAGAGUACUUGGUCAUAGUUAUCAAUCAGAUGCAGCGCUAAUACGUGACAAUUUUUCAGAUAACAGUUUUGAAGACGAUUUUCAGAAAAUAGAAAAAAAAGUUUUAUUUCAAAGCAAGCUAGAACAAGGAUUGAGCAUUCCAUUCUGAGCAUUCCACAGACUUUUAAUUUUAAUUAUUAAUUUUAACUAUCAAUACUCAACAUCUACAACCAUUUGCUGAUAGAAUUUUUGAAUUUGCUGAUGAGGAUUUUGAACAAAAUUUUGUUCAGGCUGGUUGUUGCUGUUUCUUCCAAACGUGGGACUGCAUCAAUGCUGUAAAAUUUAUGCUAAGGACCAUGUUGACUAAUCAAGAUUUAAGAAAUUUAACUGGACAGGACAACCCCUAAACACCAAAUUUCGGGAAUGCAAAUGCCAUGGAGUUUUAAAUUAACAGCAACUUAGAUUUCGACUGAAAAAGGAAGUGGAGGACAUGAAUAAAAAACCUAUGUUUAAAUGGCCAGCAGUGGAUAGCCAAUGCUGCAUUCCAGAUGACAUCGUUUGCAAGCUUGAAGUAAUGACUACAAAAACAGGAUGUGGCUACUGUUUAGAUGACAAAGACGAUUUUAACAAAUUUAUUUUCU